RNAcentral lists this ribosomal RNA (452 nucleotides) under uncultured Opitutus sp. Its description in RNAcentral is "bacterial SSU rRNA". It matches the Rfam family "Bacterial small subunit ribosomal RNA", at positions 929 to 1382 of the family's 1533-position model. The record is from RNAcentral. Lineage: Bacteria; Pseudomonadati; Verrucomicrobiota; Opitutia; Opitutales; Opitutaceae.
GCGGUGGAGCAUGUGGCUCAAUUCGAUGCAACGCGAAGAACCUUACCAGGCCUUGACAUGCACUAGACAGACUCUGAAAGGAGUCCUCCCCUUCGGGGCUGGUGCACAGGUGCUGCAUGGCUGUCGUCAGCUCGUGUCGUGAGAUGUUGCGUUAAGUCGCGCAACGAGCGCAACCCCUGUCCUUAGUUGCCAUCAUUAAGUUGGGUACUCUAGGGAGACAAACCCUCUCUGAGGGUGGGAAGGUGGGGAUGACGUCAAGUCAGGAUGGCCCUUACGGCCUGGGCUGCACACGUGCUACAAUGCCCGAUACAGAGGGAAGCAAUACCGCGAGGUGGAGCAAAUCCUCAAAAUCGGGCCCAGUUCAGAUUGUAGUCUGCAACUCGACUACAUGAAGUUGGAAUCGCUAGUAAUGGCGCAUCAGCUACGGCGCCGUGAAUACGUUCCCGGGCCUU